UAGGGAAUUUUCGGCAAUGGGCGAAAGCCUGACCGAGCAACGCCGCGUGAAGGAAGAAGGCCUUCGGGUCGUAAACUUCUGUUAUAAAGGAAGAACGGCCAUGACAGGGAAUGGUCAUGGAGUGACGGUACUUUAUGAGGAAGCCACGGCUAACUACGUGCCAGCAGCCGCGGUAAUACGUAGGUGGCGAGCGUUAUCCGGAAUUAUUGGGCGUAAAGAGGGAGCAGGCGGCAGGAAGGGUCUGUGGUGAAAGACUGAAGCUCAACUUCAGUGAGCCAUGGAAACCGGCCAGCUAGAGUGAUGAAGAGGAUCGCGGAAUUCCAUGUGUAGCGGUGAAAUGCGUAGAUAUAUGGAGGAACACCAGUGGCGAAGGCGGCGAUCUGGUCAAUGACUGACGCUGAGUCCCGAAAGCGUGGGGAGCAAAUAGG
This 428-nucleotide ribosomal RNA is filed under the name uncultured bacterium. Its description in RNAcentral is "bacterial SSU rRNA". It matches the Rfam family "Bacterial small subunit ribosomal RNA", at positions 355 to 776 of the family's 1533-position model. The record is from RNAcentral.